CACUCACUGUCCUUCCUUCUAUCUACACCCCAGGAAUCAAUGAACUGCCUAAUGUCAUCUAGCAGCUCCCCCGACUGUUGUAACGACCAUGUCUCACCUUCCGCACCCCUUGCCGCUGAAGGCCGUGGGGUUGCUGACCGACCGCGGAUCUCCUGCCCCAAGCGUCCCAUUGCUCCGGGCCGUGCUCCUGAUACGCUGGGUCUCACCCGAUCCGCGGGGGACCUGGAAGCAGGGCCGGUGCGAGGAUUUUUGCCGCCCUAGGCAAAAAUUAUUUUGACGCCCCCCCCCCAUAUGUCCUGCCCACCAUGUGACAUCACAAUGCCCCGCCCAUAUGCUCUGCCAUAUGGGCCAACGCCAGUCUUCACAAAGUGUCUUUUAUCUGAAAAGACAGUGUGUUUACAUUAAAAAGCCUAUAGGCACAGGCUAUAGACACCAGAACCACUACAAUAUGCUGUAGUGCUUCUGGUGACUAUAGUAUCCAUUUAAGGUAAAUUAGA
This is a non-coding RNA of Pelobates cultripes (western spadefoot toad), 497 nucleotides long. The record is from the annotation of a GenBank genome assembly. Lineage: Eukaryota; Metazoa; Chordata; Amphibia; Anura; Pelobatidae.